RNAcentral lists this small RNA (2646 nucleotides) under Histoplasma capsulatum. RNAcentral describes it as "hypothetical RNA". RNAcentral also lists the same sequence under 1 other name. Lineage: Eukaryota; Fungi; Ascomycota; Eurotiomycetes; Onygenales; Ajellomycetaceae. The record is from RNAcentral.
UUGGAGUUAGUUAGGCUGCUGACCGCUCUCUUACCCUGUAUCGUGCCUGUCUGUCCCUAAUCCCGAAGCAUGGGACGAUAACAACAGCAACAAGGCUGGACAAAAAAACGAAUCGCCAUGCUUGUUCCAAGUGUGGGCCGCGUCCAGUGUGCAGUGUCCGGUGCGUCGUGUUGUACUGUACAUACCUUUCGGUUGAAACGAAUGGCUUUGAUGCUGAAAAACCCCCCUUUCCCUGUGCUGAUUGAGGGCUGUUGAGUGGUCAUUUGGGCACGUCCCUCUAGUCAAAUAAAUAUCCGCACUAAAACCGGGACCCUUCAAGCACGAAUGGUCGAAGCCACCAAACACCAGACCCCGCCCCAGCACAGCGUCGCGGGACAGUGAGAGCUUCCUCGGUGUUCAGCCAGUGGACCAAAAAUCCCUCAUACAACGCGGCGGCACGACGGAAAGACGGCUUCUCCUGCUGCUUGCUCCAUGAUUGCGUGGACACGGUUCGGCGGGAUAUGGAAUAUCUAUCUGGUCCCCCAAUCCAAACAUCACAUGUUUGGUUCUCUCCCUCUCUCCUGAAUUUUGUGUGGUCAUCCCCUCGCACCGCACGGGGAGAAAGCCGGUGGUGGUGAGCUGACAAGGAAGCAUCGUUCUCUCGUAUAUGUAUGUUUGCCGGAAAGGAAAGCAAAACGGAAAAGGGGAAGGAAAGGGAAUGCAUCAAGAUAUUGGGCUAAUAAUUUAGAUGAUCAAUGCGACUCUAUGUGUGUAGUAAUAAUGAACAUAAUAAGCAUAUCCACGGUCGAGGCAUUAUGAUAACCAUUAGGCAACUAGUCAAUACUUAUUUAUUACAUACAGAAUCAAUCUUUAAACUUUAGGGGCCUGCCUAAUUAGAUACUACUUUUGGCCGGUCUAGCACCAUUGUAUAGGCGCUAGUAUACCCUGCUUGUGAAACAAACUUGCUAAAAUGCACUUUUGGGGGUUGAAGUAAUUUACUCAUACUUCUUUCAUUCCUGAGCUUCGGUUUGCCUCAUCCUGUCUUGUCCUUGCUCACUAUGAUGCCAUGGCGUUCACCUGGGCCAUAAGACAGAAAUAGCGGAAGGUGUUGGAUGGGUUGAGGGGUCUUGCUUGAAUUGUGAGGAUUCAGGUACGAUUAGACUCCCGGAAAGACAUCUGCAAUUCUGACGGACCCGAUUUCAAAUGAGCCGUGGCAUCUUCUGAUGAAAUCGCUGGUGCAGUCUCACUGGAGGUCUGCUGACGUCUCCUCUGCCCUCUUGCUUCCCACUCAUCCAUGACAUUAUCCCAGAUGUCGCUCUCCUUACCGAUAUCGCUAUCAUCGCUAGACUCCGCAAGAUCAUCAUCCUCUUCUCCAAGUGUACUAAAUUCUGAUUUUCUCUUUUUGGAUGUCGCGCUCUUUGAACCGCCGCCACUGUAGUUGGCCUUAAGUUGUGCCCCGCUUAGAUAUUCUGCCUUCCACACCGUCUGAGUCUUCUCGACGCUAGUCGACACUUCGAGGUGAAUAACAUUGCGGGGGUCACCGGUUGUAACGAAGGGCUUCACAAACAGAAGAAUGGCCCAAGCGAAUCGAGCAAAGAGAUAAGGACGGGAGUCGUUUCCAAGGUAUUGGACUAUGGUGUUGUGGUAGGUCGGCCAGUAUUCAGCAGCAUUAUCGGAAAGUAUGUGUGAUACGUAGUAUGCUGAACGAGUACUGGUAUCCGUCUCAUGCGCGCCUCCUCCCCCAGCAAUCUUUGGUACGAUAACGAACCAGCGUUUGUCGAAGCAUUUAUGAAUAUCCGGUCUAAGCGGAAGGAGAUUCGCUGGAUUAUCAAUAUCUCCCAAGUCUCUACCAUAUCGGUACAUCCCAUUUCUAGAGUACCAGAGCACUUCUUCCUUCGGCACGAGGUGUGCUUCUUCAGUGCAUAUCGAGAAGUUGGUGAUGCCACAGCGAGGUCCAGUGGUUUCAGGAAAUACGGAUGUGGGGCCCCAAGUAUCUGGGAUGCGGCCGUGCGGGAACUCCCAGUCCUGGAAACUGGGGACAAUGGGGUAUAUGCCUAGUAGAAAUGGAUCAGAACAGCGAUGAGAAGGUGGAGAAGUUUGCAUACUCGCGCAAGCGUCAACCAGAAAAUAGCGGCCAGUUUCAAACGCGUUGUUUCCGAUGAUCUGGCAGGCAAUCAAGGCGGUUUGGUGGUGAACUCCAAAGGUGUGAGGAGCUAUUUGAUCAACACGCGGAAGGAUCAGGAGAAUAUUGCGGGGUGCUUCAUAGCCAGGAUGCAAGAAAUAUAUAUUUUCGGAUAUUGAUCUUUCUACAGGAGGGAUCGGGGACGCAUGGAACUCAGACAGACUUCCAUCAGGCAUUUUGAAGGAUAUAGCGGCAGUAGUGAGAUAGAAGAAUAGAGGUCGUGAGUGGAGAGAGAGAAGAAUGGAGGUCGUGGAGUGGAGAGUUCUACGGGUUGGCCUUGGUUAACUCUUUUGGUUGUUCUCGAUUCCUACGGAAGGAGCAGUUGUUAGGUCACUAGAGCAAAAGAGCUCAUUCACCACUACCCAAUCCAAUCCCGCCAACGGCAGUGGAUACUAACAAGAACUCUAUUAAUAAGCAUCAGCUGUUUGAUAAACAGAACCUAACUAGCAGGCUUCAACGCUAACGAUACCUCAAAGGUGAAGUGC